UACGUAGGGUGCAAGCGUUAAUCGGAAUUACUGGGCGUAAAGGGUGCGCAGGUGGUUAUACAAGACUGACGUGAAAUCCCCGGGCUCAACCUGGGAAUGGCGUUGGUGACUGUAUGACUAGAGUGUGGCAGAGGGGGGUGGAAUUCCACGUGUAGCAGUGAAAUGCGUAGAGAUGUGGAGGAACACCGAUGGCGAAGGCAGCCCCCUGGGCUAACACUGACACUCAUGCACGAAAGCGUGGGGAGCAAACAGG
RNAcentral lists this ribosomal RNA (253 nucleotides) under uncultured bacterium. RNAcentral's name for it is "partial 16S ribosomal RNA". It matches the Rfam family "Bacterial small subunit ribosomal RNA", at positions 524 to 776 of the family's 1533-position model. The record is from RNAcentral.